AUGUAACAUCAGACUUACGAUCGAUCCCAGCCGCUUACGACCGCAUUUGACAUGAGGUUAAAUAAUUUGAGACCUGCGACUUGAAUUCACUGGGCAAGAAGAUACUGACGAAAUCUCAGAUCUGGCUGCAGUGCAACAAGUGUAAAUACACCACGCAUCAUGAUUCCUUCAUGAUGCAUCGUAUGAAAGAUCAUAACGAGGAAAAGGCAGCUGACGAGCACAUCUUCGAGAGCCAGCAGGAAAGUGAAAGACACAGUUAUAGCAAAGUGAAUGACUUGGAGAACAAGGAGAAUGAAACAGGUUGAGUAGCGUUAAAUCCAAGAGAAAUUGUUCAGAUGCAUUCUUGCUAUCUGUUACAAUUUUUAUAAUUAGUGACACUGUUAAUACGUUACAGAUUAUUUUGACAUUGUUAUCAAGGAUGAUAAAGCAAUCGGAGGUAACACUUUUGGAGUCGAUUCAGUCAGUGUUUUCACGUUGUCCCAAGAACAAAUGUAUGUUCUGCAGCCGAUUGACAUGGCUGAUAUUGAAAAUUUGAUUUGAGGAAGAUGACAAGAUUGGACUCUGAUCCUGAGCAGAAAAUGGAAAUGAAGAGCGAAAGUAGAAAACGGAUAACCU
Molecule: long non-coding RNA, 615 nt
Organism: Solenopsis invicta (red fire ant)
Lineage: Eukaryota; Metazoa; Arthropoda; Insecta; Hymenoptera; Formicidae
Exons: 2
Source: RefSeq, a predicted model, not a curated record